This 367-nucleotide long non-coding RNA is filed under the name Ananas comosus (pineapple). RNAcentral's name for it is "long non-coding RNA (ACOM_LNC010449)". The record is from RNAcentral. Lineage: Eukaryota; Viridiplantae; Streptophyta; Magnoliopsida; Poales; Bromeliaceae.
AAUAACUGGGCUUAAGCAUUUUGGGCUAUUGACUGGGCCCAACAAGUUAUUAUUGCUAGUGGGCUGGGUCGUUACAUUUGGUAUCAAAGCCGGUUCACUAGUUGGACAUGUGUGGCGAGUCUCGGCUGAGCCAGGGUCUGGAUGACGGGCUAGCGAGACAAGUCUCACAUCGCCUGGUGAUCUUGGGCUCUGUGUGAUUGGACUGACGAGGACGUCAGGGUCUUAACGGGGGGAGUCUGUGACACCCGAAUAGUCCCACAUCGGAUGGGAAUGGGGUUAUUAUUGGGUUUACAAGAGACUUAGACACUAGUAAUAAUAACUGGGCUUAAGCAUUUUGGGCUGUUGGCUGGGCCCAACAAGUUAUUAU